RNAcentral lists this ribosomal RNA (1323 nucleotides) under metagenome. Its description in RNAcentral is "SSU rRNA". It matches the Rfam family "Eukaryotic small subunit ribosomal RNA", at positions 186 to 1417 of the family's 1831-position model. The record is from RNAcentral.
GCCUUUCGGGGCGUGGUGGGAAGAGAUGUAUUUAUUAGAUCGAAACCAGCGCUUUUCUGUGCGCCUUUCGGGGCGUGUGGAGAGUAGAAUGGUGAGUCAUAAUGACUGUUCGGAUCGCGUGGCGGCCAUUUUGUGGUGUGCCUGCGACAGAUCGUUCGAAUUUCUGCCCUAUCAGGUCGAAGUGAGGGUCGUGUCCUCACUUGCCUUUGACGGGUGACGGGGGAUGAGAGUCCGAUUCCGGAGAGGGAGCCUGAGAAACGGCUACCACAUCUAAGGAAGGCAGCAGGCGCGCAAAUUACGCAAUGAGAAGACCUUGACGUAGUGACAAGAACUAACGAUACCGGGCUUUUUUGGUCUGGUAAUCGGAAUGAGUGUUUUGUAAAAGCCAUAACGAGGAUCCACUGGAGGGCAAGUCUGGUGCCAGCAGCCGCGGUAAUUCCAGCUCCAGUAGCGUAUAUUAAAGUUGCUGCAGUUAAAAAGCUCGUAGUUGGAUGUCUGGUGUUGUGCGCCUGACCGCAUUGUGGCGAAAUGCCCGGUGCUGUGUCGGUUUUUUUGGGUCGGUGGGUUGUUUCUUUGAGGAGCAGCUUGCUGACUUGCGCGCGGGCCAUGUUUUGGUUUGUUCUUUUUCGAAAAGCAGACCAUCAUUUACUUUGAAGAAAUUGGAGUGUUCCAGGCAGGCAAAAUCUAAAUUGCCUUGAACAGAGUAGCAUGGAAUAAUGAGAGACGGCUUUGGCCAAGCUUGUUGGUGUUUGGGUCGAAGUAAUGAUGAAUAGGGACAGUUGGGGGUGCUCGUAUGUCGGGGCCAGAGGUGAAAUUCUUGGAUUCUCGACGGACGAACUAAUGCGAAAGCAUUCACCAAGGAUGUCCUCGUUAAUCAAGAACGAAAGUUGGGGGAUCGAAGACGAUCAGAUACCGUCGUAGUCUCAACCAUAAACGAUACCGACCAGGGAUGGGCGCGCGUCGCAAUUUUGACCUUCGAAAGGAGGUUGUUGACCGCGUCUGCACCUUGUGGGAAACCAGAGUGUUUGGGUUCCGGGGGGAGUAUGGUCGCAAGACUGAAACUUAAAGGAAUUGACGGAAGGGCACCACCAGGAGUGGAGCCUGCGGCUUAAUUUGACCCAACACGGGGAAGCUUACCAGGUCCGGACAUGGUGAGGAUUGACAGAUUGAAGUUCUUUCAUGAUUCUAUGGGUGGUGGUGCAUGGCCGUUCUUAGUUGGUGGAGUGAUCUGUCUGGUCAAUUCCGUUAACGAACGAGACCUCGGCCGGUUGGUUGCGUUGUUUUAUUAUGUUGUUUCUCUUCGGAGGAAUAGCACCCUCGCGG